RNAcentral lists this ribosomal RNA (500 nucleotides) under uncultured bacterium. RNAcentral's name for it is "partial 16S ribosomal RNA". It matches the Rfam family "Bacterial small subunit ribosomal RNA", at positions 30 to 523 of the family's 1533-position model. The record is from RNAcentral.
AUUGAACGCUGGCGGAAUGCUUUACACAUGCAAGUCGAACGGCAGCACGGACUUCGGUCUGGUGGCGAGUGGCGAACGGGUGAGUAAUGUAUCGGAACGUGCCCAGUCGUGGGGGAUAACGUAGUGAAAAUUACGCUAAUACCGCAAACGAUCUAUGGAUGAGAGCGGGGGAUCGCAAAACCUCGCGCGAUUGGGGCAGCCGAUAUCAGAUUAGGUAGUUGGUGGGGUAAAGGCCCACCAAGCCAACGAACUGUAGCUGGUCUGAGAGGACGACCAGCCACACUGGAACUGAGACACGGUCCAGACUCCUACGGGAGGCAGCAGUGGGGAAUUUUGGACAAUGGGCGAAAGCCUGAUCCAGCCAUUCCGCGUGCAGGAUGAAGGCCCUCGGGUUGUAAACUGCUUUUGUACAGAACGAAAAGGUUUCUACUAAUACUAGGAGCUCAUGACGGUACUGUGAGAAUAAGCACCGGCUAACUACGUGCCAGCCGCCGCAGUAA